AGUGAACGCUGGCGGUAGGCCUAACACAUGCAAGUCGAACGGCAGCACAGUAAGAGCUUGCUCUUACGGGUGGCGAGUGGCGGACGGUUGACGAAUACAUCACAAUCUACUUUUUCUUGGGGGAUAACGUAGGGAAACUGACGCUAAUACCUCAUACUACCUACGGGUGAAAGCAGGGGAUCUUCGCACCUUGCGCGAUUCAAUGAGCCGAUCCCGGAUUAGCUAGUUGGCGGGGUAACUGCCCACCAAGGCGACGCUCCGUAGCUGGUCCGAGAGGAUGACAAGCCACACUGGAACUGAGCAAAGGUCCAGACUACUACGGGAGGCAGCAGUCGGGAAUAUUGGACAAUGGGCGCAAGCCUGAUCCAGCCAUACCGAGUGCGUGAAGAAGGCCUUCGGGUUGUAAAGCCCUUUUGUUGGGAAAGAAAAGCGGCAGCUUAAUACCUCGCUGUUCUGACGGUACCCAAAGAAUAAGCACCGGCUAACUUCGUG
Molecule: ribosomal RNA, 492 nt
Filed under: uncultured bacterium
Lineage: Bacteria
Description: partial 16S ribosomal RNA
Rfam family: Bacterial small subunit ribosomal RNA
Source: RNAcentral